Molecule: ribosomal RNA, 447 nt
Filed under: uncultured bacterium
Lineage: Bacteria
Description: bacterial SSU rRNA
Rfam family: Bacterial small subunit ribosomal RNA
Source: RNAcentral
CCCAGACUCCUACGGGAGGCAGCAGUGGGGAAUAUUGCACAAUGGGGGAAACCCUGAUGCAGCGACGCCGCGUGAGUGAGGAAGUAUUUCGGUAUGUAAAGCUCUAUCAGCAGGGAGGAAAAUGACGGUACCUGACCAAGAAGCCCCGGCUAACUACGUGCCAGCAGCCGCGGUAAUACGUAGGGGGCAAGCGUUAUCCGGAUUUACUGGGUGUAAAGGGAGCGUAGGCGGCUGUGUAAGCCAGAAGUGAAAGCCCGGGGCUCAACUCCGGGACUGCUUUUGGAACUACAUGGCUUGAUUGCAGGAGAGGCAAGUGGAAUUCCUAGUGUAGCGGUGAAAUGCGUAGAUAUUAGGAGGAACACCAGUGGCGAAGGCGGCUUGCUGGACUGUAAAUGACGCUGAGGCUCGAAAGCGUGGGGAGCAAACAGGAUUAGAUCCCCUCGUACA